GAUGAAGAACGCAGCGAAAUGCGAUAAGUAAUGUGAAUUGCAGAAUUCAGUGAAUCAUCGAAUCUUUGAACGCACAUUGCGCCCCCUGGUAUUCCGGGGGGCAUGCCUGUUCGAGCGUCAUUUCACCACUCAAGCCUCGCUUAGUAUUGGGCAACGCGGUCCGCCGCGUGCCUCAAAUCGACCGGCUGGGUCUUCUGUCCCCUAAGCGUUGUGGAAACUAUUCGCUAAAGGGUGUUCGGGAGGCUACGCCGUAAAACAACCCCAUUUCUAAGGUUGACCUCGGAUCAGGUAGGGAUACCCGCUGAACUUAAGCAUAUCAAUAAGCGGAGGA
RNAcentral lists this unclassified non-coding RNA (331 nucleotides) under soil metagenome. RNAcentral describes it as "partial contains 5.8S ribosomal RNA, internal transcribed spacer 2, and large subunit ribosomal RNA". The stretch from base 1 to 120 matches the Rfam family "5.8S ribosomal RNA", at positions 35 to 154 of the family's 154-position model. The record is from RNAcentral.